AGUUCAGUACAUAGGCAUACGGAGGGGAGUCCCACGUCAGCGGGCCGAGUGUCAAGGCUCUGGGAGAAUGCAUGAGACUGGCAACAUCGCCAUGGCCAUUUUUUGAAAAAUACAAUCUGCUCCAGAGGGGUUGGAAAAGCUGGCUGCUUCCUAACAGGAGUGCAGGGGCCAUGGCCGUGACCCUAACCGUCUCCGUCCACUGCCCUCCCCGUGGCCGACCAGCGUGGGGAUGUGGGAUGGAGGCUGAAUGAGGACAGGGCUCAGACUCAGAGGUCUAAAGAUCCUUUGCCUGAGUUGCGAGUGGCUCCUUCAGAAGACAGAACUUGAAAAAAAUAUUAACAACUUUGGCCCAAAAUGAAGCUGGGAAGACAUGAAAAUGAAGCAAUAAAUGCUGUUAGAUGCCAAGUUCAGAAUUCAUCUGCUCCUGUUGAAGACCUCAUGGUGUUUGCAAUGCAAAUCUCAGAGUCAUGCCUUAAUCAUUACCGCAGGGAGACAAUUAGGGUUAAAAUAUAGAUUUCUAGAUAAUGAGGGCAAAUAAUA
Non-coding RNA from Microcebus murinus (gray mouse lemur), 540 nucleotides. The record is from RefSeq and is a predicted model, not a curated record. Lineage: Eukaryota; Metazoa; Chordata; Mammalia; Primates; Cheirogaleidae.